ACUCAAAUGAAUUGACGGGGGCCCGCACAAGCGGUGGAGCAUGUGGUUUAAUUCGAUGCAACGCGAAGAACCUUACCUGGGCUUGACAUGAACUGGAAGAGUGGCGGAGACGUCCUCGCCCGCAAGGGUCGGUUCACAGGUGCUGCAUGGCUGUCGUCAGCUCGUGUCGUGAGAUGUUGGGUUAAGUCCCGCAACGAGCGCAACCCUUACCUUUAGUUGCCAGCAUUUAGUUGGGCACUCUAAAGGGACUGCCUGCGUUAAGCAGGAGGAAGGUGGGGAUGACGUCAAGUCCUCAUGGCCCUUAUGUCCAGGGCUACACACGUGCUACAAUGGUGGUCACAGAGGGAAGCCAAGCCGCGAGGUGGAGCUAAUCCCUUAAAAGCCAUCUAAGUUCAGAUUGGUCUCUGCAACUCGAGACCAUGAAGUUGGAAUCGCUAGUAAUCGCGGAUCAGAACGCCGCGGUGAAUACGUUCCCGGGCCUUGCACACACCGCCCGU
This 497-nucleotide ribosomal RNA is filed under the name uncultured bacterium. RNAcentral describes it as "partial 16S ribosomal RNA". It matches the Rfam family "Bacterial small subunit ribosomal RNA", at positions 899 to 1397 of the family's 1533-position model. The record is from RNAcentral.